This 1155-nucleotide long non-coding RNA is filed under the name Salvator merianae (Argentine black and white tegu). RNAcentral's name for it is "lncRNA (ENSSMRG00000006164.1)". The record is from RNAcentral. Lineage: Eukaryota; Metazoa; Chordata; Lepidosauria; Squamata; Teiidae.
UGUGUAUAUUGAAAGCUAAAAUCCCUUUAGAAUUUAAUCUCCCAGUGAAGGAUUUAAAACUGUAACAGACAGCUGGCUUCUGGUAACUCUUUGAAGCAAGCUUCCAUUGAAAACAGCAUUUUGGGUUCCAGGCCUCCAUCCCGCAGUGUCCACCUUGGCUUCUGUUUGAUAGAUAUUUUCCUACAACUCCAGGGAGACAGACAGAAGGGGCGGAGGCGGCUUCUCGGCCUGAUGACAUCAGCACGGGGGUGGAGCUGCCCCGUCCCAAAGGCAAAUUCCAGUCCAGGUAUGAGAUCAUCUGAUGGAGAAAUCAGCUUUCUUCCUAAAACACACUUAGGUGGGUGGGUGGAGAAGUUCUGAGAGAGAACACAACAUGUGUGGAUGUGUGUGAGAGAGAGAAGAAUGUGUAUCCGAGCAGAAGAGCCAGCUUUGGUGAUGUUGCAUUCAUGCGGGCAUUUCUGGGGGCACCAGGAACUGGAGCCCUGGCAGUGUGGGAGUCGCUUCGCUUCCACCCGUCACAGGCUUCUCUGCUUUCCUGCUUCUCUGGUGCCCAUUCUAUUAAAAAGAAAGAAAACGGAUAGAAUCAUAGAAUCAUAGAGUUGGAAGGGACCUCCAGGAUCAUCGAGUCCAACCCCCUGCUCAAUGCAGGAUUCACUACACCAUCCUAGACAGAUAUCCAUCCAGCCUUUCCUUGAAGACCUCCAGCGAAGGAGAGCCCACCACCUCCUGUGGCAACCUGUUCCAGUGACUGAUUGCCCUUACGGUCAGAAAGUUUUUUCUAAUAUCUAGCCUGUAUCUACUCCCUUGAAGUUUCAUCCCAUUGUUUCUAGUCCUUCCUUCUUGCGCAACUGAGAAUAGGGCCAAUCCUUCUGCACUGUGGCAGCCCUUCAGAUACCUGAAAACAAUAUCCUGGAGUGCAGGAUAAAAAAGGAGUGAAGGAGGGGCAAGUAAGAGCUGAGCUGCGUUAGGUUCAGAACGCUGGUUAGAGGGAAGGGAAAGAAGGGAGGCGGAAGGGAGGGAGAAAGGCUUGACCUAGUGCUGGUCCAGGGUAACUUAAAGUUCAGCCUAUCAGGCAUGAAAGGGUUGAGUGAUUUUCCCUGGCAGGGUUAUAAACCACAGGCAAAGGGUUCUUGGAGCAGUGUUCCCACAUCAGGC